Molecule: long non-coding RNA, 817 nt
Organism: Oncorhynchus keta (chum salmon)
Lineage: Eukaryota; Metazoa; Chordata; Actinopteri; Salmoniformes; Salmonidae
Exons: 3
Source: RefSeq, a predicted model, not a curated record
CAUAGACCAGGACCCGUAGGACUAACCCAUAGACCAGGACCCGUAGGACUAACCCAUAGACCAGGACCCGUAGGACUAACCCAUAGACCAGGACCCGUAGGACUAACCCAUAGACCAGGACCCGUAGGACUAACCCAUAGACCAGGACCCGUAGGACUAACCCAUAGCAAUCUGGUCAACAGUAGCGCACUAUCAAGGGAACAGAGGGCCAUUUGGGACUAAACUGCUAUAGUGUUUACCUGGCCAGUGUUGUGUUUGUACUGUAACUCAGUCAUGUAGUGUCCAGGUGUAACCUGUCUGUACUGUAACUCAGUCAUGUAGUGUCCAGGUGUAACCUGUCUGUACCGUAACUCAGUCAUGUAGUGUCCAGGUGUAACCUGUCUGUACUGUAACUCAGUCAUGUAGUGUCCAGGUGUAACCUGUCUGUACCGUAACUCAGUCAUGUAGUGUCCAGGUGUAACCUGUCUGUACUGUAACUCAGUCAUGUAGUGUCCAGGUGUAACCUGUCUGUACUGUAACUCAGUCAUGUAGUGUCCAGGUGUAACCUGUCUGUACUGUAACUCAGUCAUGUAGUGUCCAGGUGUAACCUGUCUGUACCGUAACUCAGUCAUGUAGUGUCCAGGUGUAACCUGUCUGUACUGUAACUCAGUCAUGUAGUGUCCAGGUGUAACCUGUCUGUACCGUAACUCAGUCAUGUAGUGUCCAGGUGUAACCUGUCUGUACUGUAACUCAGUCAUGUAGUGUCCAGGUGUAACCUGUCUGUACCGUAACUCAGUCAUGUAGUGUCCAGGUGUAACCUGUCUGUACUGUAACUCAG